Molecule: long non-coding RNA, 731 nt
Organism: Spinacia oleracea (spinach)
Lineage: Eukaryota; Viridiplantae; Streptophyta; Magnoliopsida; Caryophyllales; Amaranthaceae
Exons: 4
Source: RefSeq, a predicted model, not a curated record
UUGAAUGAAAUGAAUGUAGCUGGUUUAUUGUACAUACCAUAGAAAAAUGUAGCAAAUAUGAUUGCGAAAUGGACGACCAACUCUGUCAUAUCGACUGAUCUAUAUUUCCUUAGUAUGUCAUGUGUAAAGUUUUCUGCUUAUUUUUUGGGGAAUAUUGUGUCACAUCAGUUUAUGUUAUAUCUAUUUUGCAUUUCAGGCUUGGCUGGCAUUUAGGAAGUACUUCGUAACUAAUAUGCCAUCUGAUUUGACUCCGAUUUAUAAGCCCAUAUACAAAGUUUGUAAUAGUGUUCCUCAGCAGAUCCUAAACCUGGCACAUAAUAAGAAUGAGAUACAUAUAAGAGUUUGUUCUCAUUGACAAGUUCACAAAACGAGUUUAGCAUUUGCAUGCUGUAGCAUUCCAGGAAGUUAGAGAUGGGACGAAGGUUAACUACGAGGAUGCAUGGACAUUAAUUUGUGUCAUUCCACACAUCUGAAAGUGCAGACGCGAUAGCGAGAGCUUUUGAUCUUGGUAUUAGCGUCAAGAUGCUAUCAGAAUCAAGUAUGGGACCUGGUAAAGGUGUAAUUGGUGGCCCUGCUCUGAAGAAGGCAGUAGGAGCAACAACCAGCUAAAUGGUGCGACUCCGAUUAUUACUUUUAGUGAAUCAGCUUAACGUGUACAAGUUUUUAUGUAUUUUGGAUAUCACAUUUUUUUUUGUGGGGAUUUGGAUCACAGUUGAUGUGAAGUAAGAAAU